CGGGGGAUGCUCGGAGCCGGCGGGGGGGGUGCGGUGUCUCUGCCCCCGCGGCGGGGGAAGCCGCAGCGCUGCCAGCUGCAGUAGCAGCACAAGGUGCAACGUUAUAUCCAUGUACAGUUCCGUGGGCUUCACACCCAUGGAAAUGGAAAAGUGCGAGGCGAAGAAUGAAUUAUCGGGGCGUUUCAAUAGGUCGUGCUGCUGAGCGCUGAUUCACUUUGCCAACAUUACAAAACCCUGUUUCCGUGCUUUAAUAAUUCACACUGUCGUCUCAGAAUUCUGUGGAACUGGAGCUGAUCCUGUGCUUAUGACUAGUGGUUCUUCCAUUAAGCUGUGUUGCCCCACAGAUGGCUGCAUUUGCACAAAAAGCAUUGCAGAAGAUUGAUGUGGCAGCAGGAACAAGUGGCAUAGGGAAGGAAGAGAACUGUCCAGAUCAAUUUUGCCUCUGGAAAAAAUGCAGUAGGGAAAUGCAUUCUGACUUGCAACCAGAGAAGAGAGGAUAAAAGCCUUUGAUGAAUUAAAAUAUCUGCAAUACACAUGGAUAGCAAAACAGAAAUCAGGCAUGCAAAAAUAGAAAAUAUUAAUAAAUGCCACUAUAUAACUGAUAAAUAUUUUAUAGAAAUACAGCUAAGAGACAAAAUUCACAGAACAGGAAUAAGUGUUGAAUACCAUCAGAUUUCUGUUUGCCCAUUGUGAAAGAUUAUUUGCUGUGCACUGAUUGUCACAAAUUGUACUGAGUGCAGUAGAUAAAAAAAAAAAAUAAUAAUACCUGUGUACCAUGGUGGCAAGGCUAGGAUAAUGGAUUAGCAAGAAAUAGAGCUAUCUAAUAUAGAUGCAAUCUCACUGAUCCAAGUUACAAAGUGGCAAGAUACCAGUAAAUAAUGUGCAAGCUGAGAACUUUCCAGAUUUUUGGCAUGUCAUAAAACAUUAAAGAUAAAGGCAUCCAUAGCCAUUUCAAACAUCUCAGAUAUCUUAGAAUUACAUCAUCUGAUCUAAUCAGUUUCUGUAGUAGUCAAUAAAGAAAAAGUAGAAAAUUGGUGGUAUAUAGAACUGCAGUCCCUAGAACAUGCCUAUUGCAAGAAAGAAAAUCUGCUUAAAUAAAUAAAAAUUAUUUAGGUUUAUUUUCAGCCACUAUGACAGAGAAUAAAAGUAGGUUGAGGAAUCGCAGUGCCUAAACCCAAAAAGUGCUCCUAAACACAUUUAAGAUGUCACUCAACUUACAAGACUCCAGAAGUCUGCAAAAGACUACUAUAUGAGCUUAAAAUUUCUCAAAUGCCUAAAACUCUACUCCUAGAUGUAAUAUUUAAGCUCUGGAGGUAAGGAGUUGCAGGAUGCAGAAGUGAUACCUGUGUAUUUUCUUGGAGUUAGCCAUUUUUAAAGGCCAGUUGUCUAUUACUGUCAGUAUCAUCAAGGAACUUCAAUUUGUUAAAGAAAUAAAUAAAAGUCAA
This is a long non-coding RNA of Vidua chalybeata, 1445 nucleotides long. RefSeq lists it as uncharacterized. The transcript has 3 exons. The record is from RefSeq and is a predicted model, not a curated record. Lineage: Eukaryota; Metazoa; Chordata; Aves; Passeriformes; Viduidae.